Molecule: transfer RNA, 96 nt
Filed under: compost metagenome
Description: tRNA-Gln
Source: RNAcentral
GGCUGCUGUGCCGGGGGUUGCGCCGGCGGCUGCGUCUGCUGCUGCGGCGGCUGCGCCGGCGGCGUCGUCUGCUGUGCGGAAGCCGUGAGCGGCAGC